This 464-nucleotide ribosomal RNA is filed under the name Buthus boumalenii. RNAcentral describes it as "partial 12S ribosomal RNA". Lineage: Eukaryota; Metazoa; Arthropoda; Arachnida; Scorpiones; Buthidae. The record is from RNAcentral.
ACCGUAAAAGUGAAGAAAUUUUAGUUUUAANUUAAGAAAUNNNUUUAGANNNGGAAAAGAGGGAUUUUUUCANAAAGGUAAAAUUUUGAAAAAAAAUAGUUUUUCGNUAANUUAAAAAUUUUGGAAAUUCAGAAGUGAAACUAGGAUUAGAUACCCUAUUAUUAUUGAGAAAAAAAUGAUNUAGGUAGUAAUAGAAGCCUUGAAACUUAAAGAAUUUGGCGGUAUUUUAAUCUAAUCGGAGGAACUUGCGUUUUAACUCGAAAUUACACGUUUUAUCUUACUUAAAUUUANGUUUGUAUAUCGUCGUAAAAAUAAAGCUUUGAAGUGGAUAUUUAGUCUUAUUAAANUAAGAAAUUACAGAUCAAGGUUCAGCUNAUAUUUAAGNAUUACGUGAGUUACAAUAUUUUUAAAAGUAGAUGGAUAUUUUUCUNNGAAAGGNGAAAUUUGAAGGUGGAUUCGAAAGU